RNAcentral lists this ribosomal RNA (506 nucleotides) under uncultured bacterium. RNAcentral describes it as "partial 16S ribosomal RNA". It matches the Rfam family "Bacterial small subunit ribosomal RNA", at positions 29 to 523 of the family's 1533-position model. The record is from RNAcentral.
AGUGAACGCUGGCGGUAGGCCUAACACAUGCAAGUCGAACGGCAGCACAGGAGAGCUUGCUCUCGGGGUGGCGCGUGGCGGACGGGGGAGGAAUACAUCGGAAUCUACUCUGUCGUGGGGGAUAACGUAGGAAAACUUACGCUAAUACCGCAUACGACCUACGGGUGAAAUCCGGGGACCUUCUGGCCUUGCGCAAUUCAAUGAGCCGAUGUCGGAUUAGCUAGUUGGCGGGGUAAAGGCCCACCAAGGCGACGAUCCGUAGCUGGUCUGAGAGGAUGAUCAGCCACACUGGAACUGAGACACGGUCCAGACUCCUACGGGAGGCAGCAGUGGGGAAUAUUGGACAAUGGGCGCAAGCCUGAUCCAGCCAUACCGCGUGGGUGAAGAGGGCCUUCGGGUUGUAAAGCCCUUUUGUUGGGAAAGAAAUCCAGCUGGCUAAUACCCGGUUGGGAUGACGGUACCCAAAGAAUAAGCACCGGCUAACUUCGUGCCAGCCGCCGCAGUAA